This 52-nucleotide microRNA precursor is filed under the name Hydra vulgaris (swiftwater hydra). RNAcentral describes it as "Hvu-Novel-11_pre stem-loop". Lineage: Eukaryota; Metazoa; Cnidaria; Hydrozoa; Anthoathecata; Hydridae. The record is from RNAcentral.
AAGCUCUUGAAUAAUGUAAUUAUAACUAUAAUUACAUAAUUUGAGAUUUUAA